GGACCCAUGGUCUAGUGGCUACGCAUAAAAAGUAGUGAAAAUGCGCCAUACAGGACGUCCGCCUGACUCGCGGGAGAUCGCCGGUUCAAAUCCGGCUGGGUCCA
RNAcentral lists this transfer RNA (104 nucleotides) under Candidatus Woesearchaeota archaeon. RNAcentral's name for it is "tRNA-Val". It matches the Rfam family "tRNA". From Rfam's summary of the family: Transfer RNA (tRNA) molecules are approximately 80 nucleotides in length. Lineage: Archaea; Nanobdellati; Candidatus Woesearchaeota. The record is from RNAcentral.